GACGAACGCUGGCGGCGUGCCUAAUACAUGCAAGUCGAGCGAACAGACCAGGAGUUUGCUCCUCUGACGUUAGCGGCGGAGGGGAGAGUAACACGUGUAUAACCUACCUAUAAGACUGGGAUAAUUACGGGAAACAGGAUCUAAUCCCGGAUAAUAUAUUGAACCGCAUGGUUCAAUAGUGAAAUUCGGUUUUUGGGUCACUAAUAGCUGGUUCCGCGCGGCAUUAGCUAGUUGGUAAGGAAACGGCUUACCAAGGCUGCGAUGGGUACCCGACCUGAGAGGGUGAUCGGCCACACGGGAGCUGAGACAGGGUCCAGACUCCUGCGGGAGGCAGCAGUAGGGAAUCUUCCGCAAUGGGCGAAAGCCUGACGGAGCAACGCCGCGUGAGUGAUGAAGGUGUUCGGAUCGGAAAGCUCUGUUAUUAGGGGAGAACAAAUGUGUAAGUAACUGUGCACGUCUUGACGGUACCGGGUCAGAAAGCCACGGCUAACUACGUG
Molecule: ribosomal RNA, 497 nt
Filed under: uncultured bacterium
Lineage: Bacteria
Description: partial 16S ribosomal RNA
Rfam family: Bacterial small subunit ribosomal RNA
Source: RNAcentral